AACCAGGCUUUAUUAAAAGCCACACCUAUUUAUUUAGUGUUAUCAG
Non-coding RNA from Cavia porcellus (domestic guinea pig), 46 nucleotides. The record is from Rfam. NCBI's taxonomy places the organism in Eukaryota, Metazoa, Chordata, Mammalia, Rodentia, Caviidae.